RNAcentral lists this ribosomal RNA (252 nucleotides) under uncultured Bacteroidales bacterium. RNAcentral describes it as "partial 16S ribosomal RNA". It matches the Rfam family "Bacterial small subunit ribosomal RNA", at positions 524 to 776 of the family's 1533-position model. The record is from RNAcentral. Lineage: Bacteria; Pseudomonadati; Bacteroidota; Bacteroidia; Bacteroidales.
UACGGAGGAUGCGAGCGUUAUCCGGAUUUAUUGGGUUUAAAGGGUGCGCAGGCGGAGGCACAAGUCAGCGGUAAAAUCGCGGGGCUCAACCCCGCUCCGCCGUUGAAACUGUGUCCCUUGAGUGCGCGAAGGGUAGGCGGAAUGCGUGGUGUAGCGGUGAAAUGCAUAGAUAUCACACAGAACACCGAUUGCGAAGGCAUCUCACGAAUCCGCUAUUGACGCUGAAGCACGAAAGCGUGGGUAUCGAACAGG